RNAcentral lists this ribosomal RNA (1049 nucleotides) under uncultured bacterium. Its description in RNAcentral is "bacterial SSU rRNA". It matches the Rfam family "Bacterial small subunit ribosomal RNA", at positions 482 to 1533 of the family's 1533-position model. The record is from RNAcentral.
UUAAGACAGCACCGGCUAAUCUACGUAACAGCAGCCGCGGUAAUACGUAGGUGUGCGAGCGUUAAUCGGCAUUUACUGAGUGUACAGCGUGCGCAGGCGGUUUGUAAGACAGGCGUGAAAUCGCCGGGCUCUACCUGGGAAGUGCGUUCUGACUGCAAGGCUAGAGUAUGGCAGAGGGGGGUGGAGUUGCACGUGUAGCAGUGACAUGCGUAGAGAUGUGGAGGAACACCGAUGGCGAAGUCAGUCCCCUGGUCCAAUACUGACGCUCAUGCACGAAAGCGUGGGUAGCAAACAGGAUUAGAUACCCUGGUAGUCCACGCCCUAAACGAUGUCAACUAGGUGUUGGGUGGGUAAAACCAUUUAGUACCGUAGCUAACGCGUGAAGUUGACCGCCUGGGGAGUACGGCCGCAAGGUUAAAACUCAAAGGAAUUGACGGGGACCCGCACAAGCGGUGGAUGAUGUGGAUUAAUUCGAUGCAACGCGAAAAACCUUACCUACCCUUGACAUGUCCAGAAGCUCUUAGAGAUUUGAGUGUUCCCGAAAGGGAGCUGGAACACAGGUGCUGCAUGGCUGUCGUCAGCUCGUGUCGUGAGAUGUUGGGUUAAGUCCCGCAACGAGCGCAACCCUUGUCGUUAAUUGCCAUCAUUGAGUUGGGCACUUUAACGAGACUGCCGGUGACAAACCGGAGGAAGGUGGGGAUGACGUCAAGUCCUCAUGGCCGUUAUGGGUAGGGCUUCACACGUCAUACAAUGGUCGGUACAGAGGGUUGCCAAGCCGCGAGGUGGAGCCAAUCCCAGAAAGCCGAUCGUAGUCCGGAUCGCAGUCUGCAACUCGAUUGCGUGAAGUCGGAAUCGGUAGUAAUCGCGGAUCAGCAUGUCGCGGUGAAUACGUUCCCGGGUAUUGUACACACCGCCCGUCACACCAUGGGAGCGGGUUCCCCCAGAAGUAGGUAGCCUAACCGCAAGGAGGGCGCUUACCACGGCGGGGUUCGUGACUGGGGUGAAGUCGUAACAAGGUAGCCAAUCUCUGAAGAUCGCGGUCUAGUUUC